RNAcentral lists this small nuclear RNA (98 nucleotides) under Erinaceus europaeus (western European hedgehog). The record is from RNAcentral. Lineage: Eukaryota; Metazoa; Chordata; Mammalia; Eulipotyphla; Erinaceidae.
AUGCUUCACCAGCACAUAUAGUAAAAUUAGAACAACACAGAUUAAUAUGGCCCCUGCAUGAGGAUAACUCAAAGAUUUGUGAAGUGUUACAUUCUUUA